RNAcentral lists this long non-coding RNA (4360 nucleotides) under Salmo salar (Atlantic salmon). Its description in RNAcentral is "lncRNA (ENSSSAG00000099720.1)". The record is from RNAcentral. Lineage: Eukaryota; Metazoa; Chordata; Actinopteri; Salmoniformes; Salmonidae.
AUGAAACCAACACAUUGCAUUUAUAUUUUUGUUCAGUUUAUCAUUUUUUAUUUAUUAUUGUAUAUAGAAAAAAGGUAACCUCAUGUUUCUCCCCAAUUUCGUGAUGACCAAUUGGUAGUUAGUCUUGUCUCAUCGCUGCAACUCCCGUACGGACUCGGGAGAGGCGAAGGUCGAGAGCCGUGCGUCCUCCGAAACACAACCCAACCAAGCCGCACUGCUUCUUGACACAAUGCCUACUUAACCCGGAUGCCAGCCGCAUCAAUGUGUCAGAGGAAACACAGUGCACCUGGCAACCGUGUCAGUGUGCACUGCGCCCGGCCCACCACAGGAGUCACUAGUGCGCGAUGGGACAAGAACAUCCCUACCGGCCAAACCCUCUCCUAACCAGGACAAUGCUGGGCCAAUUGUGAGCCACCCCAUGGGUCUCCCAGUUGCGGCCGGCUGCGACAGAGCCUGGACUUGAACCCAGGAUACAAUUUCAAACAAAUGAUGAAGUUAGAACUAACCAGAUAUUGCUUUCAACAAAUCAAAAAGGGCUUUGGUUGCUUCCAUUUGCUCCCAGCUGGAUUGUUCCUUUUUCAAACACGGUGAGUCUUCUAAUUUUGUCUGACUCCCCAUUUCAUUUCCUUUACUCCUGGGGAUACCUCCUGACAUUUUGAAAGUGAGUUUCUCCUUUUUAUUCAACUUUCCACCGAAAGGAUGUGAUGGACUGUCAGCGAGGUCAAAUUGCGAGCUUCCAUUUUCACUGGAACGUCGCAGUCUACAGAAAGAGUCAGUCUGGUUUUCAGGGGUGUCUGAUUUCGUUUGGGCCAGACACUCCUCUGAUCUAGAUAGCCCUUUGAUUGCCAUCUUUAGGUGGGAAGUUAUGGGUUUCUCAGAUUCCUCGGUUUUGUCUGCAUUAACCAAAAUGUCAGAUUUCUCUAUUGGUUCGGUCUCGUCAUCUCUGCAGCACUCAAUGGAACUGGGUUCUGAAGGAGAAUCCUCAUCACAUUGGGAGAUGAUGAUACAUGGGCCCCGGGCCAGGUCAUCCCUUGUAUCGCCAUCCAGGUUCUCAGUUGCAGUUGGUUCUGCAGCCUCCGUUGUGUUGGAAUCAUCUGGUUUGGUCCCUCUUCCAAGGCUGUUGUGCUUGUCCUGAAAAAUUCAUUGUGCAUUGCAGACCUGGGUUCACAUACAUGUACAUUUGAUUAUUAAAAUUAUUGUUUUUGGUAUGAGUACGUUUAAAUAAUGUGGCCCAAAUCAACUAGCUACUACUUCUGUUUGAGGUAUUUGAAAGUAUUUUCUAAUAAUUUCCCAUAAAAAGCCUACUAUUAGAAAAUAUUUCCAAAUACAUUAUUUCAAAUACCAAACAGACCUACGUUCAAAUGCACGAGAGUGUUUGAAAAUACAUGGUAUUUUGUUUUUCUUAAACUUUUUACCCCUUUUUCUCCCCAAUUUCGUGGUAUCCAAUUGGUAGUUCCAGUCUUGUCCCAUCGCUGCAACUCCCUUACGGACUCGGGAGAGGCGAAGGUCGAGAGCCAUGUAUCGUCCAAAACCCGCCAAGCCGCACUGCUUCUUGACACACUGCUCGCUUAACCCGGAAGCCAGCCGCACCACUGUGUAAGAGGAAACACCGUACAGCUGGCGACCAAAGUUGCGGCCGGCUGCGACACAGCCUGGGCUCAAACCCAGGUCUGUAGUGACACCUCUGGCACCGCGAUGCAGUGCCUUAGACCACUGUGCCACUCGGGAGGCCAGGUAUUUAGCUUAAAAAAUAUAUAUAAAUACCCAAAUACUUACUUCCAAAUGUCUUUGAAAGUCGUGCAUUGAAACACUAUCACAAAUAUUGACCAACUGCUGGAGAGUCACUACUGGUUUGGUUUCUUAAUCCACCAGCAGAGGGCAUCAUUUGCCAUUUGUGGUGACACUGACAUGAUACAAGACUACCUGGCUUGCAGGCCUUGCUCAACAGGUUAUUAAAAUGCCUACCUCAUCUUCCUCUUGGCCCGGAGUCAGGAAGUUGGCCAGGCCACUGAAGAGGCACCACACAUGAUCCUCUUCAACCAGCAGCUUUUCCAGAGGACACAGAAACUGAAAUACUGGCUGAGUGUGGCCCACUAGAACAUCAGACACCAGCUCCUGGAGAGGACAUUUACUUUUAUCAUAUCAGAUCACCUAUCUGUGUGCAUUUAUGCUCAUGCAUGAAGUGUGCCAGUGUACCUGUAAGAAGAGCUUGAUGGACUUCCUGGCUUCUUUAAAAUCCUCAUUGAUGUUCACCUCAGUGCUCUCCUCUAACACGUAUAGGGAGGGUAAAGUAGCAGAGUCCUAAAAAAAAUAAAAAAAAAAACAAUCCAAACAAGGGAAAAAUAAUAAUAAAAGAGAAAUUGUAUGAUCUGUAAAUAAGAGCGUCUGCUAAAUGACUCAAGUGUAAAUCUGGACUCAUUGAGGAUGCAAAAGGGAGACCAGUGUCAAAAGAGACUAUACACUCAGACUAUUAGCAAUGGUUGUAUCUAAUUGUGCAACAUCCAUAAGAUGUCAAAGAUAAAUGAAACAGUACAGUAUGUGUUACAUUCACAAGUCCUGCAGCGCUCUGUUUUGACAACAGUGCUGUGGUUUUGUCAUCUUGAGACCCAACAAAAUAAGGAAGUUACCAUUGGUCUCAUUUCUCAAAAACCUUUUACACUGAAUUCAAUACCAAACAGCAUAGCGGCUUUACCUCAUUUCAUUGGCCAUGAGGUUACAUAGUGAAAUGGUACCUUGUGCAACACAAUAGCAGCAAUACAAUCUCCCUCUUCAUAAUUCCCUAACCUGCCAUAGGUUGCGGAAGUGGAUGAUGUCUGUUUUGGUCUUCCUCACGUUCCAGUGAAGAUUUUCAGGGUUGUCCCUCUCCUCCAGGUGAACUGUAAAAUACAGUUCCUCGUUUUCCCUCUCCACCUACAGACAGUAACAUCUUACUUUACACACCAUUCUGGCACAAACAGGUAACAGAAUGACCAAGGACAUGUCUUCACACAGCUCAGUUUCAUAACUAAGAGUAGUUGCAUUCAAAGCAUUCCACAGUGACUUGUGUGCGAUUAGUGACUUACACAAGGGACGCUGACAGCCCAGUGGCCAACCCGCCACAGCUCAUACGACAGCUUGAAUUCCAUCAUAUCCUCUUGUACACUGUUCCAGUAGCUCUCCAGAUCACUGUCCUCCUGGUGAAACAAACCAAUGACAAAAUAAAAAUGUCAGCUGUGUUAUAUUUCAUCCUCAGUUUGAUACUUAAUGUUACCAGACUAUAAAUAGAACAAUGUUUGGGGAGGAGAGAGGACAUUCAGAAAUAAUAUGAAAUAAUCUUCUAUUGGAUAGAUGGCAAAACAUGUACUGUCUGUAUGUAUGCACUGUCUUUAGAAAUCAAUAGAAUUGCUAUAAAAAAAAAAGACUAGAACAGGGUGAAUAGUGCAGUGAUGACUGCAGAGCCGCUCUUUCUGGUGCAGUGUCCUUACGCUGUCAGAGUCCUGCUGGUUCCGGAUGGAGCCCUCCCGGCUACUCCCUUCAUUUUCGUUUGAUGGACGACCCUGGAUAGACAGGGCCGUGACAACCAGCGCCUGCUCCCUUUUCUUCAUCUUCUCCCUUUUAGCCUUCUUCAAUCUCAUCUUGUCAAGGAAUUUAGACCAGCCUUCCUUCAAUUUGUUGGCUGGAAAAACCACACAUAUCUGAUUAGCUAAGUGUCGACAAUUUUCAUGGCCCUUUUCUAUGUCACAAGUUGACUGCAACUAUGAUAACUUUAAGGCAGGAGAAAGAAAACAAACAUGAAAAAAAUCAUCAUGGAUCACACAGAAUAAACUGGACAUUUUAAUUAGCUUAGUAAUGGUUUCAAAUACACAAAUACCCUCACCUUUCUUUUUGGACUUGCUGUCACUGGUUUGAGCACCCUCUGUUUCUUCCUGUGUCCUAAAAUGGCCACAAAACAAAACCAAAGCACAAUUUCUUUCUGUGUUCUCUGCACCCUUGCAGCACUGAAGCGUGUUUAUUAAAGACAAGAGAGGCAGCCUGGUAGGAAAAGGUCCACUCACGCUCCACUGGCCUGGCUCUCCAGGGAGACGGGAGAGGCCCUGUCAGAGUGGGACUCACACAGCUCCUCCACAGAGCUCUUACGGGUCGCUCCAUCCAGCUGACUCACCACCAGCUGGUUGAGGUUGUCAGGGUCUGAGAGCCACCGCACCAGCAGGUCCAGUGCUGAGGGCAUGGAUGACAAAGUCAAUGUGAUACUGACUACAGAGUAAAACCACAUGGUAGUGGGACAAAACCAUGUUCAAUAAAUACUAAACAAAAAUAUAAACUGCCCCAUGAGCUGAAAUAAAAUAUCUUAUUUGGGAAGCUUAUUUCUCUUAAAUCUUGU